RNAcentral lists this ribosomal RNA (437 nucleotides) under uncultured bacterium. Its description in RNAcentral is "bacterial SSU rRNA". It matches the Rfam family "Bacterial small subunit ribosomal RNA", at positions 28 to 469 of the family's 1533-position model. The record is from RNAcentral.
GAUGAACGCUGGCGGCGUGCCUAAUACAUGCAAGUCGAACGCUUCACUUCGGUGAAGAGUGGCGAACGGGUGAGUAAUACAUAAGUAACCUGGCAUCUACAGGGGGAUAACUGAUGGAAACGUCAGCUAAGACCGCAUAGGUGUAGAGAUCGCAUGAACUCUAUAUGAAAAGUGCUACGGGACUGGUAGAUGAUGGACUUAUGGCGCAUUAGCUUGUUGGUAGGGUAACGGCCUACCAAGGCGACGAUGCGUAGCCGACCUGAGAGGGUGACCGGCCACACUAGGACUGAGACACGGCCCAGACUCCUACGGGAGGCAGCAGUAGGGAAUUUUCGGCAAUGGGGGAAACCCUGACCGAGCAACGCCGCGUGAAGGAAGAAGUAAUUCGUUAUGUAAACUUCUGUCAUAGAGGAAGAACGGUGGAUAUAGGGAAUGAU